RNAcentral lists this long non-coding RNA (5961 nucleotides) under Malus domestica (apple). Its description in RNAcentral is "long non-coding RNA (MDOM_LNC014825)". The record is from RNAcentral. Lineage: Eukaryota; Viridiplantae; Streptophyta; Magnoliopsida; Rosales; Rosaceae.
UUUCACCAAAUAUUUCUAUAGUUCUACUCUAGUAGUCCAAUUGACAGAACAAAUAGCAAGUGCGAUUUUAUUCAAUGCUUUGAAUGUGUUGUAAAGAUAAUACCACCAACUAUGGGUGGCAAUUGAUUCUUGUGAUAACAUACUAUAAAGGUAAAGGUAUGGAUAAAAAAGAAAAUGCGUCCUUUGAAAGAUAUAGAACAAACUUGAAAUUCAAUGAAUUGUUCUUUUACAAAGCGCAUCACCAAACUUGAUUUCCCCAAGAAGCACCUAAAGAAGAACAUCAAACAUCACUGUGGUGAUCAUGACAUGCAAUACCCAAAGAAAAAUAAUUUAAGAAAAAAUAAACCUAUUCAUCACACAAUGCUAAAAUACAUAUGCCUACAUAUCCAUAAUUUCUAUGUUUACGGAACACCUUUCGAUAAGUCACAACCUUCAUUUUAAAAUGGACUUUUGUAUUUGUAUUUUGCUUGUGAGUAUGGUCUUGGUUAAAACUUCGCAUUCUAGCAUUUACUUAUAUGAUAUCAUAUAGCAAGAAAGCUAUGAGACCCAAGUCACAAUUUAUUGUAUUCUCAUAGACCCUCAAAAUACUAGAGCUAGACAAAGAUAAACAACACGAUAGAGAAACUUCUGCUUUACAUGUACAUUGACAUUUGCAUGUGCAAAGCUCUCUUUCCUCCUUUCCUUUCUUUUCUUCCUCACCUUUCGAAUCUUUCUCCUAGAUUAAGGAGAUUGUUGUUUUGUUGUUAGUGGUUGCCAUCAUCAUCACAUUGAAAUCAACUUUAGUUAAUACUAGCCUCCUGCACGCGCUCACGGGCGUGCGGAAGGCCCUUUUGUAAUUAAGGCAUUCUACGUGCGACUUAAAUAAUUUAAAUGAUAACAAAAGAGCGGUUGCUCUCUGAUCUAAUUGCAGACACAAUCUGCAGAACCGUCUUCUAUGGGAUUUGAACUUGUGAAGUGUGAGGUGGAGACCUGAAUGUAACAAAUUGGUGUUAAGUGAAUAAUUCCAAACAUAUAAAAUUUAGAUCAUCACACCGAACGCAAACAGAACAAUUAAAUAAACAACUGAAGGCAUACGCAAUCUAAUUAGACAAAUAAGUGAACUUUCCCAUGCCGAAAUCUGAAAGGCCAACAGAAAUAUCUCAUUACAGCACAGAAGACAAAACUUAGGACAAAACUUAAAACUAAUCAAACUUAGGUGAACCAAUUAUAGAGAACAUAACCCUUGUAACCAAUCGGGAAAAGAUGCUUUUAAAUCCCAGAAAAAAAAAUUAAGAGGAGUUUUUUAAAAAACCAUCAUUUCAAUUAUUUUCCAGUCUUACAUUUGGAUUAAACAGAAAAUAUAAGUAAAAAUGCCAACUUUCUAAAAAAACUACAACUAUUUUUACAAAUUUCCAUUACCCAAUGCUGAAAAAUGAGAAUCACGAAGCAAUGAAGAACGGAACACGCGAGAACCAAAAAGUUAAAAACAACACGUAACCAUUUCAAAGACCCAAAAUCCUGCAAGGACAAAAAAAUCCCAUAAAAUCAGUACAUCAGCACUCCCUGCAAAACCCCAAAAUCAGAAAAUUAUAAAAAGAACCCAAAAUCAGUGGCAUGGUCCUCGUUUCUCCAUCAUUCAGUAGCUAAUGACCUAAUGGAAAAGAACCCAAAACAUACAGCUUAAAAUAUGGAAAGUGCUUAUAAAAGCUCAUGAAUAACGUUCAAAGCCUGCAUAGAAAUGGUAUAGCGCAGAUAACAACAAACAAUAAAACUAUGCACAGUAUAACCUAAAUCCGAUAUGUUGCAUUCCCCACACACAGAUUGUUCAAAAUUAAUUUCGUCUCCGUCUUUUUUCAAAUCUGAUAAAAUCCCCAAAACACAAAAAAUAGCAGCUAACUAUUUUUUGAACUCUGUAAACAACGAUAUGCAUCUUAACCCAUUUAACAUAUUCAUAAAAUAACAUCAAACACAUUUAUGCAUGAGAUAAUAUAGAAGUGAAGUCUCACAACUUUCAUAAAAAAUUAUUACUUUGUUAGAGAAAGGCUUGAAAAAAUAUGUAAAUUACUCACCUCUAUUACAAAAAUGUUACAACAGUAGACAAAAAAGGCCAAAAAUACCAAAAGCCGCACCUCCUGAAAUAAAAAACAUAACCAAACGACACAUUCUCAGUAUCUAAACGAUAUCCAGAAAAAAAGAAAUGAACAGACGAAACCCAUGUAAAUAUACAGAACAAACCAAAAAAAAAAAAAAGAACUGAAGCCAGUAAGAAGAUCACAAAUCUGAUAAAGCAAAAGGUAACAUAAUCUAUAUCGAUUUAAUUAUCCAUCCAAAAAGACAUUUGAAUGAAGAACAUUUUUAAGGAUCCAAACAACCAUUAAACUAAACAAUUAAAAGUAAAAACAGCAAAGCAUUCAUUGAAGAAAUAUAUAUAUAUAUAUAUAUUAUAACGUAUUUUGUUCUUUAUACCUAAAAGAAAAACAUUGGCUUUCUUGUAUGCACUGAAGUAUGCAUGUGUCGGAAAUUUACAAUCUAUAGAGACUCAAUCUCAGACUCAAAAAGACAUCUAAAGGAAAAGUAAUAAGAAAAAUAAGUAGUGGUUUUACCUAUACUCCAUGUGUGGACUCCAAUUUUCAAUCACAAUUCAAAAUUCAAGAGGCCUAUAAAUCAACCACAUAGGAAAUGAUCAGUGGAAGAAAAAGAAAAACAACUGAAGCCAAAAUAGCAUCUAACAAAUCAUUUAGAACCAUCACAGAAAACAAUUUUUGCAUAUAAGUAAUUUAAAGGAAUACCAUCAGGUCAUGCAUAUAUACAACGUACCCAAUUAGAUAAGUAGCACAUCAACAAUUGAUGAUCAAAAAGUUAGUCAGCCUCAAUUGCUUGAAUCUAAUUAACUCAAAGAUAAUAAACAGUCCAUUUAAUGCACGGGCUGACUAUCAAUUUUAUAAAGCUAUAAUUCUGUGCAGUUCAAAAACCAAGUGGAAGAAUAGGCAAAAACUAUCUCAUCGCCUGUAAAUGUAAUUAACUAAAUAUUAAACUUCACAGCCACAAAUAAACCUAAAUUCCUCCUAAAACUAUCUCAUUUAAGCUUGAUUUUACUAUAAUCUAUAAGUGUGGUAAAAAAUGGGAGGCCAAACGAUUUGUUAACAAAAAAGGUAGACAUAAAAGUAAAAGGAACAGGGCAGACAUUAGUUGAGGAGAAGCUAAUGUCACCUUGAAUUGACGACAAACAGUUCUUAUCUUCUCGAAUUAACGAAGAUAAGUACCAUUUUUCUUUAAUUCAAGGUAAUAUAAAAAGAAAUUAUACCUGUACAGUGUUCAGAUGUAGCAAUCCUAUGCAAUCGGCCAAAUGAUGUGUGUCCUCUCAAAGAUCUGUAUAUCCAUUACAGACUAAUCUUCAGUCUUGCAGAAAAUGAUAUGUUGACUACAAUUUCCCAUACUACUAAAAAACACAAAUAAUUCUAUCUACAAACCAAAUAAUAUGUGCAACUUUAUGCUACAAUGGUAGAAUAAGAUGGUUGUACAGGACGACACAAAGAUUGAGACUUUUUUUUACUUCUAAAAUUCUACACACUUUCGAGCCCUAAAUUUUCCCGGAAACAAAAAAAAGUGAAAGAAGUCGUACCUGGUUUGAGAGAGUGGGACACCAUCGGCGAGUUUGGUGUAGCAGUGAUGGCGGAGAUCUCUGGUGAGAAAGCUAAUAAGAUGGACAAAAUCAUUGAACAAAAAAAACCUCGCUUUUUAAAAUUAAAGUCAACAAAAAUUUGAACAAAGAAAAGAGAACUCAAACCCGAAACAAAUAAGUCGGAGAACUCGCCAGGAAACCCAAAGUUUCUGCAGGAUUGGCGAUUUCCUGAAAACCAAGCUUUUGUAGGUUUAAAAUUUCUUCCCUAAGGCAACAGAUCCAACAUUCCCAACUUUAGCUAUUUCAGCUACAUAAUAGAAAGAAAAAAAAAUUUAUAUAAUUAACUAAUCUGAUUUAAGAUUAAUCGAAAAGCUUGGAAAUUUCAGCUUUAAAAUUACAUGUCAGGCUGCAAAUCUAAUAAAAAGCGUAGAAUUUUAAAAAUGCUGACCUUAAAUACAGAGGCCUUCGCAGGCUGCAAAGAAGCGUUAGAAACCCGAAAAACCGGAUCUCCUGAAACCAAAAACAAAACCAAAUUAACCAUCAUCACCCAUAAUUCGAAGCCACAAACAUAAUCCCCAAAAUUACAACCCAAAAAUUUAAACAAAAAAACCCAUUUAUAAAUCCAAAUUUACACUCCCAAGUGCAAGACUCUAAGCUCCAACUGUUCUUUCUCAACUUUAGCUAUUUCAGCAACAUAACAUAAAUAAAAAGGUCGUACCCAGUGCACAAGGCUCCCGCUUUACGCAGGGUCUGGGAGAGGUGAAUGUCGGCUAGCCUUACCCCCAUUUUAUGGAGAGGCUGCUCCCAAGUCUCGAACCCGAGACCUACCGCUCAUGGGCGAAGACACUUGCCAUCGCACCAAGUGCGACCUCUAGCAACAUAACAUAAAUAAAAAGAUCGUACCCAGUGCACAAGGCUCCCGCUUUACGCAGGGUCUGGGAGAGGUGAACGUCGGCUAGCCUUACCCCCAUUUUAUGAAGAGGCUGGAACAUAACAUAAAUAAAUAAACAAAAUUAAUUUAACUAUAAUUAACUAAUAUGAUUUAAGAUUAAUCAAAAAACUUGGAAAUCUGCUUGAAUCCAAUCUCAAAAUUGAAAACGAACACUUCACUUUUACAAAAGUUGUACAAAGCAAAAAAAAAAAAACAGACAAAUCAAAGUCUCACAAAGGGCCACAACGACAGCAAAAUUGCAACAGAAAGAGGAAAAAUGUUCAAUCAAACCAUUGGAUAACUCUUCUAAGGCAGCCAAAAAAAAACCCACAAAUUCAAAACCACAAAAAUCCAAUCUAAAACAUCGAUUCACAGACUGAGAUGCACAAAAUGAUAUAUUAACAAAUCCAAAACGAAAUACAAAAAUUAAGAACCAACAAGCAAAAAAAUACUGAUUAUCCCCUGCAUACGUGAGCACACGUUCAAAAAGCCUCUCAAAGGCUGAGAUUCAACUUUCAAACAUAAAGACUUUAAGCCACAAUUGUUCUUUCUUAACUUUAGCUACUUCAGUUACAUAAUCGGAAAAAAAAAAUUAUUUAAUUAUAGUUAACUAAUCUGGGUUAAGAUUAAUAAAAAAGCUUGGAAAUUUCAGAUCUAAAAUCACACCUCAGGCUGCAAGUAGAAUCAAAACCAUGGAAUUUCAAAAUCACUGACCUUAAACACACAGGUCUUCGCAGGCUUCAAAGAAAAGUCACAAACUCGAAAAACCCAAUCUCCUGAAAUCGAAAACAAAACCAAAUUAACCAUCAUCACCUAGAAUCCGAAGCUACAAAACAAAAUUCCCAAAAUCAAAACCAAAAAAUUUGAACAAAAAACUCAUUUAAUAUCCAAAUUUACACUCCCAAGCACAUAACAUUCAAAGCAGACAAUUACCCAAAUCAAAUCGACAGCAGGAGAUGCAAUCUUUUAUGGGCUUCAAAUUUUCUUCAAACCGAGACCAAAUUCGCUAGUUUUCAGCAAGAGAGCGUUGCCGUUUGUAACCCCCGAUGAAAAGAUCCAAACAAAUUUGACUAACAGUAGACAGAGAGAGAGAGAGAUAGAGAGAGAGAGGUGAAAAUUACUCGCUGGUGACGAAGCUAAUGAAUUCGGAGACGCAUUCCUGGACGGUGUUCGACUGAUCGGCACGAGUAGAGACACCAGAUCAGAAAGACAGAAAAAUUAGGGUUUGGGAGAUAAAGAAACUGGGGCAGAGAGAGAGGGAAAGAGAAGCAGAAAAGAGGAUAAUUUUAUGCAUUUUUUUUAGCCGCUUUGAAUUUUUUUUGGCCGACAGGCAUUUGCGUCCGAUUAUUUUUGUCGAAGCCGGUGACACCAAAACCGGCCUCCGGCUUUCGGACCAGGAUUGUCUGCCCCUUCAUUUUCCCUGCCAUGU